Molecule: long non-coding RNA, 863 nt
Organism: Phyllostomus hastatus (greater spear-nosed bat)
Lineage: Eukaryota; Metazoa; Chordata; Mammalia; Chiroptera; Phyllostomidae
Exons: 3
Source: RefSeq, a predicted model, not a curated record
CUGGGCGACAGUUGCUUGCAAAAAAAAGACGCCUUGGCUGCUUGCCCCCCAAGCUCCCCGGGCUACAAUAGAGGAGUUCUAAGACGGCCUCCCCCUAAGACGGACAGCUGCAAAACCGUCGCAAUUAAUGGGCUUGAAUACAACCCACGACAGGGAAGUGGGGGAAAAUGUGGGCUCUCUGAAGCGAGUCAGCUGCACCACAGUGCCCGGGCAUGUCUGCUCCAGGAUUCCGCCUCCCCCACAGCGGGCUUUCCAGCACAUACUUUGAACCACCAGGUCCCCCUUCCAGAGUGAGGGCCUCCUAGACUGGGAAGACCCCCUGGCAACCUGUGACCUAAAUAAGCUGCUUUCUGCGAACCGAAGACGGCGGGAAAGAACAACGCCCACCCCUAUGCCCAGCACCACCGUCCUUCGCACACCAUCAACACUCGUGAUUCUCAGCGACACAGUUCAGACCUGGCUGUACUUGUGAACUCACGCUGUGAGCCCUUCUCCUGACAGCGAUCAGAGGCUGCAUUGAACUUGUUGGCGUUGCAGAGGGCAAACCCAGGUCAGCAGCAGCAUGCACGCGCGCGCGCACACACACACACACACACACACAGUGAACAAGGAAACCCACGAGCAAGUGACUAGCGGCAGGGCGGAAAGACACGAGCGAUGACGGACCUCAGGCCCGCCCCUGUGCGCUGUGUGACCUCGAGCAAACCCCUUCUCUCCACUUCCUCUCCUGUCAAAUCACUGACACACGAUGUGCUUUUGUUAGAAAAGAAUCCCUUUCGAUAUAUGAUGGGGGAACUAUUGUGGCUACGUAUAGAGCAGAAGUAAAAGAUUUUCCUAAAACAGGAUGCUGAUGUUUAAGGGGA